UCUUGGAUAGCUCAGUAGGAAGAGCAAUCGGCUGUUAACCGAUUGGUCACAGGUUCGAGCCCUGUUCCAAGAG
This 73-nucleotide transfer RNA is filed under the name Clostridium sp. AF50-3. RNAcentral's name for it is "tRNA-Asn". It matches the Rfam family "tRNA". From Rfam's summary of the family: Transfer RNA (tRNA) molecules are approximately 80 nucleotides in length. The record is from RNAcentral. Lineage: Bacteria; Bacillati; Bacillota; Clostridia; Eubacteriales; Clostridiaceae.